ACUAACCAGGAUUCCCUCAGUAACGGCGAGUGAAGCGGGAAAAGCUCAGACUUAUAAUCUUCGGAAAUGUAGUCUGUUGAGACCACGCCGUUCUUGACGGAGGGUUAAAUCCCCUGGAAUGGGGUACAAGAUAGGGUGAAAGUCCCAUUCAAGCCUUCUGUCUGAGUGUACGGCCAGUCUUCAUUGAGUCGAGUUGCUUGGGAUUGCAGCUCAAAGUGGGUGGUAAAUUCCAUCUAAAGCUAAAUAUAGGUGAGAGACCGAUAGCAAACAAGUACCGUGAGGGAAAGAUGAAAAGAACUUUGAAAAGAGAGUUAAAGAGUACCUGAAAUUGCUAGAAUGGAACCGAUGGGAAGUAGUGUUGCGGGCGACAUUGUCCAACUUGUUUACAAGCUGGAAAUUUUGUUGCAUAGCAAGUCAUUCUCGAUUACUUCCGCCAAAGACCACCUCGAACUGUAUAGUUCAAGGAACCCUUGUGGGAUGGAUCGAAAUUGACGAAAUACUUCUCAUCAUCCCGUCUUGAAACACGGACCAAGGAGUCUAACAUGUCUGCAAGUGCUUGGAGUUUACCUCCGUGCGCGAAAUUAACGUAAAGUCGGACUUGUCCGAUGAGGUAGGAAAUUUGCACUAUCGACCGACCAUGCUCCUACGGGAAAAAGGUUUGAGUGUGAGCACACAUGUUGGGACCCGAAAGAUGGUGAACUAUGCUUGAGUAGGACGAAGCCAGGGGAAACUCUGGUGGAGGUCCGUCGCGAUUCUAACGUGCAAAUUGAUCGUCGAACUUGGGUAUAGGGGCGAAAGACUAAUCGAACCAUCUAGUAGCUGGUUCCUCCCGAAAUUUCCCUCAGGAUAGCUGCAACCGAACAGUUUUAUCAGGUAAAGCGAAUGAUUAGAGGCCUCAGGGGUGGAACGUCCUUGACCUAUUCUCAAACUUUAAAUGGGUAAGAACCCGGAGUUGCUUAAUUGAACUCUGCGGUCGAAUGACGGUUGCUAGUGGGCCAAUCUGGGUAAGCUAGAUUGGCGAUGCGGGAUGAACCGAACGCUGAGUUAAAGUGCCAAAAUGUCCGCUAACCUAGACCCCACAAAAGGUGUUGGUUCAUUAAGACAGCAGGACGGUGGCCAUGGAAGUCGGAAACCGCUAAGGAGUGUGUAACAACUCACCUGCCGAAUGAACUAGCCCUGAAAAUGGAUGGCGCUAAAGCGGAAUACUUAUACUCAGCCAACCCCGCAAGUACAAUGCGGUGUUGAGUAGGGGGGCGUGGAGCUUGCUGUGCAUUCUUUGGCGUGAGCCAGGAUGAAGCGAGCUCUAGUGCAGAUCUUGGUAGCAGUAGCAAAUAUUCAAAUGAGAACUUUGAAGACUGACGUGGAGAAAGGUUCCAUGUGAACAGUAAUUGGACAUGGGUUAGUCGACCCUUAGAGAUAAGAAAAUUCUGUUUGAAAUAAAUCCUUUCUCGGAAGGGUUUGCUUAUCGAAAGGGAAUCAGGUUAAUAUUCCUGAACCGAGACGUGGAUAUUGAGUGGUAACACAAGCAAAAUCGGAGACGUUGGCGAGAGCCCCGGGAAUAGUUCUCUUUUCUUCUUAACAACUCUGUAGACCUUGGAAUCGGAUUGCCCGGCGGUAAGGUUUACAGGUUGGAAAAGCGACAUAAUUUUUGUGUCGUCCGGUGCGCUCUCGACGACCCUUGAAAAUCCGGUGGCGUGACUUAUUUACACCCUCGGUCGUACUCAUAACCGCCUCAGGUCUCCAAGGUGAGCAGCCUCUAGUCAAUAGAAUAAUGUAGAUAAGGGAAGUCGGCAAAAUAGAUCCGUAACCUCGGGAUAAGGAUUGGCUCUGAGGGUUGGGCCUAGGGGUCUCUGAAUCGAUAGAAGUGGCGGCUGGGAGAGGACUGCGGCUUCGCGGCUGCGGACUUCAUUCGGCUGCUCUCUUGAAGUUUGGAGAACGUCUUCGGACUUUCCCUAGUGCGUGGAACAACCAACUCAGAACUGGAGCGGACAAGGGGAAUCCGACUGUUUAAUUAAAACAAAGCAUUGCGAUGGCUGGAGACGGUGUUGACGCAAUGUGAU
RNAcentral lists this ribosomal RNA (2060 nucleotides) under Synura sphagnicola. RNAcentral's name for it is "partial large subunit ribosomal RNA". It matches the Rfam family "Eukaryotic large subunit ribosomal RNA", at positions 64 to 2195 of the family's 3401-position model. Lineage: Eukaryota; Synurophyceae; Synurales; Mallomonadaceae. The record is from RNAcentral.